UACGGGGGGAGCAAGCGUUGUUCGGAUUUACUGGGCGUAAAGGGCGCGUAGGCGGUCGUGACAAGUCACUUGUGAAAUCUCCGGGCUUAACUCGGAACGGUCAAGUGAUACUGUCGUGCUAGAGUACAGAAGGGGCAACUGGAAUUCUCGGUGUAGCGGUGAAAUGCGUAGAUAUCGAGAGGAACACCUGCGGCGAAGGCGGGUUGCUGGGCUGAUACUGACGCUGGAGGCGCGAAAGCUAGGGGAGCGAACGGG
RNAcentral lists this ribosomal RNA (255 nucleotides) under uncultured bacterium. RNAcentral describes it as "partial 16S ribosomal RNA". It matches the Rfam family "Bacterial small subunit ribosomal RNA", at positions 524 to 776 of the family's 1533-position model. The record is from RNAcentral.